GGGGUGAAUGGAUUUAACAUUGCUGAAACAAUUACGACGUGUUUUCAUGUUGGAGCCAAUUUGGAGGAGGUGGAGCCAAAUGGCCAAAUAGAAGACCCCACACUGAUCAUCCCCACUGCGAGGGCACCAAUUUAACAACAAUCUACACAGAAAAAGCACCUUCAUAAGAACCAAAAAUCAGAUACACCGUGGGCCAGAGGAGAUGUUGCUAUCUUGAAGGAAAGGACACAUCACCUGCAACUGAAGAACCCUUGGUCCCUGAAUAACAAUCAGCAAU
Cebus imitator (Panamanian white-faced capuchin) is the source of this 277-nucleotide long non-coding RNA. RefSeq lists it as uncharacterized. Lineage: Eukaryota; Metazoa; Chordata; Mammalia; Primates; Cebidae. The record is from RefSeq and is a predicted model, not a curated record. The transcript has 3 exons.